UAAAUUAACUUAAAUUAAUAAUAAUAUCAAACUUUAGUAAAAAUUAAUAAACUAGUGAAAUAUCUUUUUUACGGAGUAGGGUUUACCAAAACUUAUUUACUUUAAAAUGAAGAGUACUGAGAAGGAAAAAGAAAUGUCUUUUAUUUAUUAAAAAGAAGUGAUACCACUUACCUUUUGUAUUAUGGUUGAAUUAAAUAAAAGGGCAAAAAGUCUUAGAAACGAAAUUAAGCGAGCUAUACUCCUCUUUGGUAAAGCUUUAUUCUCUUACUGUUGUAAAAGUGAGUGAGGAGAGGAGUCUAGGGGUGAUAUGCCUUCCGAGCUUAAAGAUAGCUUUAUUUAAAGGAAAUUGGUGUAAGCCAAUAAAUAAUUAGUAUUAGGAGAGAUAGUUGGACUAUCAAUUAUCUCUUGAUAAAAAGAAUUAUAAAUAAAAAGAAGAGGCAAUUAGUUAUUUUGGUAAAAAUAAAUAGGAUUUAAGCAUCUUUUUUUAGGAUUGCGUUUGAGCUCAUUUUUAGUUUAAAAACAAAUUAAUAUUUGGUUAUUUUAUCCUUUUCUUGAUAGUUAUUACUUUAAUAUUCUUCAAAAAGAUAUAUUUAUGUUUAAAUUAGUAAGAUUAUUUGUUAUUUGAUAAAAUAUUCACUAAAAAAGGUGACGUGAACUUUUUUGGGGUGUCUUCUUAUUAAAGAAACAAAUUGUUAAAUUAAAGUAGGGGAAGGAACUCGGCAAACUUUUCUACGCCUGUUUACCAAAAACACCGCCCCUUGAGAAGGAUAAGGGGUUCUGCCUGCCCGGUGACACUCAAUAGUGUUAAACGGCUGCAGUAUCACUGACUGUGCAAAGGUAGCAUAAUCAUUCGCCUAUUAAUUGUAGGCUAGUAUCAACGGCUAGACGAUAGAAUUUCUGUCUCCCUUUACGAGAUCUUAACUUAACUUUUAGGUGAAGAGACCUAAAUAUUACAGUGGGACGAGAAGACCCUAUAGAGCUUUACCUUAUAAAUUAAUUAGUUUAAUAAAGAGGUUUGGUUGGGGCAACCGCUCUUAUAGUUAGACAAGAGCUAAACAAAAAGUGUUUAGGAGACCCACAAAUAUAUGUGAUUAAAAGAAAAAGUUACCCUAGGGAUAACAGCGUAAUUUCUUUUGAGAGUACUUAUUGACAAAGAAGCUUGCGACCUCGAUGUUGGAUCAGAAGAGCCUAGAUGUGCAGCAGCCUCUAAGGGUUGGUUUGUUCAACCAUUAAACUUCUACGUGAUCUGAGUUCAGUCCGUCGUAAGACAGGACAGUUUCUAUCUACUAUUAAAAGUCUUUUUUUGUACGAAAGGAAUUAAAAGAAAAAAGUAAAAUAAAAUGUUCCUUUUACAUAAUUAGUUGAAAAAAUAAGAGGCUCAUUA
RNAcentral lists this ribosomal RNA (1384 nucleotides) under Amphioplus laevis. RNAcentral describes it as "16S ribosomal RNA". The stretch from base 686 to 1384 matches the Rfam family "Archaeal large subunit ribosomal RNA", at positions 1423 to 2886 of the family's 2987-position model. Lineage: Eukaryota; Metazoa; Echinodermata; Ophiuroidea; Amphilepidida; Amphiuridae. The record is from RNAcentral.